AAAUGAAUUGACGGGGACCCGCACAAGCGGUGGAGCAUGUGGUUUAAUUCGAAGCAACGCGAAGAACCUUACCAAGUCUUGACAUCCUUCUGACCGGUACGUAACGGUACCUUCUCUUCGGAGCAGGAGUGACAGGUGGUGCAUGGUUGUCGUCAGCUCGUGUCGUGAGAUGUUGGGUUAAGUCCCGCAACGAGCGCAACCCUUAUCCUUAGUAGCCAGCAGUAAGAUGGGCACUCUAGGGAGACUGCCAGGGAUAACCUGGAGGAAGGUGGGGAUGACGUCAAAUCAUCAUGCCCCUUAUGAUUUGGGCUACACACGUGCUACAAUGGCGUAAACAAAGGGAAGCGAAGCCGCGAGGUGAAGCAAAUCCCAAAAAUAACGUCCCAGUUCGGAUUGUAGGCUGCAACUCGCCUGCAUGAAGCUGGAAUCGCUAGUAAUCGCGAAUCAGAAUGUCGCGGUGAAUACGUUCCCGGGUCUUGUACACACCGCCCGU
RNAcentral lists this ribosomal RNA (493 nucleotides) under uncultured bacterium. RNAcentral's name for it is "bacterial SSU rRNA". It matches the Rfam family "Bacterial small subunit ribosomal RNA", at positions 903 to 1397 of the family's 1533-position model. The record is from RNAcentral.